Molecule: ribosomal RNA, 406 nt
Filed under: uncultured bacterium
Lineage: Bacteria
Description: partial 16S ribosomal RNA
Rfam family: Bacterial small subunit ribosomal RNA
Source: RNAcentral
AUUGAACGCUGGCGGCAGGCCUAACACAUGCAAGUCGAGCGAGCGGCGGACGGGUGAGUAAUGUAUGGGGAUCUGCCUGAUGGAGGGGGAUCACUACUGGAAACGGUAGCUAAUACCGCAUACCAUCAGAUGAACCCAUAUUGGACUAGCUUGUAGGGGAGGUAACGGCUCACCUAGGCGACGAUCCCUAGCGGGUCUGAGAGGAGGAUCAGCCACACUGGGACUGAGACACGGCCCAGACUCCUACGUGAGGCAGCAGUGGGGAAUAUUGCACAAUGGGCGCAAGCCUGAUGCAGCCAUUCCGCGUGUAUGAAGAAGGCCUUCGGGUUGUAAAGUACUUUCAGUCGGGAGGCGUUACCGACAGAAGAAGCACCGGCUAACUCCGUGCCAGCAGCCGCGGUAAUUC